AUUCCUACGGGAGGCAGCAGCAGGGAGUUUUGCGCAAUGGGCGAAAGCCUGACGCAGCAACGCCGCGUGAGGGAUGAAGGCCUUCGGGUUGUAAACCUCUUUUAUCAGGGAAGAAUAAUGACGGUACCUGGUGAAUAAGUCACGGCUAACUACGUGCCAGCAGCCGCGGUAAUAAU
Molecule: ribosomal RNA, 176 nt
Filed under: uncultured bacterium
Lineage: Bacteria
Description: partial 16S ribosomal RNA
Rfam family: Bacterial small subunit ribosomal RNA
Source: RNAcentral